CCUACGGGGCGCAGCAGUGAGGAAUAUUGGUCAAUGGACGGAAGUCUGAACCAGCCAUGCCGCGUGCAGGAAGACGGCUCUAUGAGUUGUAAACUGCUUUUGUACAAGGGUAAACCUGAAUACGUGUAUUCAGCUGAAAGUACUGUACGAAUAAGGAUCGGCUAACUCCGUGCCAGCAGCCGCGGUAAUACGGAGGAUCCAAGCGUUAUCCGGAUUUAUUGGGUUAAAAGGGUGCGUAGGCGGAAUAUCAAGUCAGCGGUAAAAAUUCGGGGCUCAACCCCGUCGUGCCGUUGAAACUGAUGUUCUUGAGUGGGCGAGAAGUAUGCGGAAUGCGUGGUGUAGCGGUGAAAUGCAUAGAUAUCACGCAGAACUCCGAUUGCGAAGGCAGCCUUCCGGCGCCCUACUGACGCUGAGGCACGAAAGUGCGGGGAUCGAACAGGAUUAGAUACCCCUGUAGUC
RNAcentral lists this ribosomal RNA (459 nucleotides) under uncultured bacterium. Its description in RNAcentral is "partial 16S ribosomal RNA". It matches the Rfam family "Bacterial small subunit ribosomal RNA", at positions 338 to 795 of the family's 1533-position model. The record is from RNAcentral.